Hydractinia symbiolongicarpus is the source of this 1592-nucleotide long non-coding RNA. RefSeq lists it as uncharacterized. The transcript is spliced from 3 exons. The record is from RefSeq and is a predicted model, not a curated record. NCBI's taxonomy places the organism in Eukaryota, Metazoa, Cnidaria, Hydrozoa, Anthoathecata, Hydractiniidae.
GCAUCAAACUCCAGAAAGUAAGUAUUUCUAUUAAUAUUUUAAGUUCUAUUCAUUUGAGACAGUUCUUGAUACCUAUCUUUUUUUAGUCAAAGUACUGACAGAUUGCUCUAAACAUUUAAUAAGCAAUCUUCACAAAUCCCAAAAACAUUACUUCAUGCAGUGUAAUGAAUUCUUUAGAUCAAGAAGAAACUAUUGCAGAAAUAGCCUUGUUUUGGACCAAGUGUAAAAUAGUAAAUAUAUCAAAGGAAUUGAAACUCAGAUUUCUUAAGGUUUGUUAUAGCAAUACUUGUGAAAUAAGAAAAAAAAAUUGAAAUCCUUAAUUUUGAAAUAAAAGAUAUAAGUGUUAAUUAUACUUAAAAGGUUAUAAUUUUGUAGAAUGAGGAUGAUCUUGAAGUUGUGGACAAAGAUAUAUCAAGUGCUGGGUUUGAUUCUUUAUUAAAAAAAAUGAUGUUGAGAGUUGGACACAAGAUUUAAAAAUGGAAGCUGCUAGUAAUUCUUCUUCAAACUCUCUUGAUUGGAAUGCGGUCCCUUUCCCUACUUGGAACUCAUUGUCCCCAAUAAUAUCCGGUCCUAAUGUCUUGUUUAGCUGUUAGGUCUAUAACCAUCUGAGGGUCUUCCUCUUGGCCUCAUAUUAAAUAUAUCUUGUUUCCACCUUCUUUCACUUCAUUAUUUUGUGAACUCAGGAUUCUUGUCGAAAAUCAUCACUAAAAAGUUGUCAGAAAUGGAAAAAUUCGUGUUGCUGCUACACGAUUUUCAAGAUUUGUCAUGCGCAGCUCAUGUAAUCAAUUUAUUGAAUGGAUUGAAGUUCCCAACAGUUAUCAGUUAUAAUUAUUUCUACCGAUCUUUGGAAUUUGGAAAUGAUGAAAAGCAAGAAGAACUGGAAUUAAUUUUAUUAAUAAAGCCAUCGCUGCAGUCGACGCAGUUGUCACAUUCACGACUAAAAAAGGAUGGAAACCAACAUGCAAGAACAAAUUAGAACAAGCAUUUGCUGAAAAAGUUGCAUGGGCGACUCAAAUAAAGAAAGUUGCAAGUACAUAGCUUGUUGUUUUAUUAAUAAUCUUUCAAAAUAGUACUAGAUUUUUAUUCGUGCUUAGUACAACUACAACAAAUGUUACAUUAUCACUUAUCGUUAACCAUUCCCCUUGUUAAGUCGUGCUAGUGAUGUGAAUCUUUUCUGAAAAAAAGCCAUUAUGCUUAAAUAUUUUAGAUAGUGGCAAAAGACGUCAUGUUCUUCGGACGAAACAUGCUGUCUCUUCAAAAACGUUAAAAGAUUUGUGCAGUGAUUAUUGUGAUUUAUUUGGGAUUAACAAUCAAACAAAUUUGUACAGUGCAUGUGAUACUGUUUUCUUGGAAAAGUAGCUCUUUCACAAAUGACAACGGAAGGUCUACAGCUGUCGAUCGUCGAUUAUACGCGGAAUUAUAUCUGAGAAUGUGUAAUUUGAUUGAAGAGCGGGAAUUACUGUUGCCAGAUAUGAAAAGUUGCUUACAGUUUUAUUGCAAGAAAUAUUGAAACUUAAAUUGACUGCAGCGCUGUUUAAAAAGUCUUUAUGAUACCCGUAUUGAAAAAUCAAGUGAAGAUGACAUUGUAGAAA